GCCACCCUAGCUCAGUGGUAGAGCAGCUCACUCGUAAUGAGCAGGUCGUCGGUUCAAAUCCGACGGGUGGCU
RNAcentral lists this transfer RNA (72 nucleotides) under bacterium. Its description in RNAcentral is "tRNA-Thr". It matches the Rfam family "tRNA". From Rfam's summary of the family: Transfer RNA (tRNA) molecules are approximately 80 nucleotides in length. Their secondary structure includes four short double-helical elements and three loops (D, anti-codon, and T loops). The record is from RNAcentral.